UGCUUAUUGCAGGACUUUUUGUAUCAUCGUGCUGCACUAUUAUAUUUGGAUUUCUUGAUCGGGCUCCUGCAGGACCUAUAUUCAUCAGUCUGUGCUUUAUUGUGAGGUCGCUUGACGCUGUCGGCUUUGGCGCUGCUACAAUGUCUGCUUUCGCCAUCACAGCACAAAUAUUCCCAAACAAUGUGGCAACUGUUUUGGGUAUUUUGGAGAUUUUUGCAGGACUCGGCCUUAUCCUGGGACCACCACUGGGAGGGUGGCUCUACCAGACUUUUGGAUACACUGUCCCUUUUUUAAGUCUUGGAUGCUUGCUGUUGAUUAUGGUUCCUUUCAACAUUUACGUCCUGCCGU
Molecule: non-coding RNA, 348 nt
Organism: Neolamprologus brichardi
Lineage: Eukaryota; Metazoa; Chordata; Actinopteri; Cichliformes; Cichlidae
Source: RefSeq, a predicted model, not a curated record